Molecule: small RNA, 345 nt
Filed under: Oryza sativa Japonica Group (Japanese rice)
Lineage: Eukaryota; Viridiplantae; Streptophyta; Magnoliopsida; Poales; Poaceae
Description: sRNA Os05g0388550
Source: RNAcentral
ACUGGUGAGAAUAAACUGCUGUCGUAAGCUCAAGGAUGACUAUGGACAAAAUAUUGAUCAUUACAACAAACAUCUCAGAAAACACAUCUAUAAGUCCGUAAAUAAUUUGCUCGUAAGUACAAAUGGCCAACAAUAUCACCCCUUCGUCGACUUGGGCAUCGUGUAACUGCUGGAUGGAUGCAGGUGAGACUGAAAAAAAAACUGUACCUAAGCACCUCCCUUGCCUUCCCCCACCAUGUUUCCCGGUUCAUUUAUCGCUAAGGGUGGAUGGUUAAUUUUGUGAAGGUGGUAGCAAACACCAGAUUUCUUAACUGGUGCUUUUCGUGGCAUUUAGUCUGAUGAUUC